This 73-nucleotide transfer RNA is filed under the name Lachnospiraceae bacterium. RNAcentral describes it as "tRNA-Ala(cgc)". It matches the Rfam family "tRNA". Rfam says of the family: Transfer RNA (tRNA) molecules are approximately 80 nucleotides in length. The record is from RNAcentral. RNAcentral also lists the same sequence under 1 other name. Lineage: Bacteria; Bacillati; Bacillota; Clostridia; Lachnospirales; Lachnospiraceae.
GGGGCAUUGGCGCAGUUGGGAGCGCGCUACAUUCGCAUUGUAGAGGCCGUGGGUUCGAAUCCCAUAUGCUCCA